CAAAGGCCUGGUCCCGACUUUACUAUCGGUUUUAGUUCAAUUUAUACAUGCAAGUAUCCGCACCCCCGUGAGAAUGCCCUUAAUCCCCCAACCGGGGACGAGGAGCUGGCAUCAGGCACGCUAGUGCAGCCCAAGACGCCUUGCUACGCCACACCCCCAAGGGAACUCAGCAGUAAUAAACAUUAAGCCAUAAGUGAAAACUUGACUUAGUUAGGACUAAGAGGGUCGGUAAAACUCGUGCCAGCCACCGCGGUUAUACGAGAGACCCUAAUUGAUAGCUACGGCGUAAAGAGUGGUUUAGGAUAAAAAACAAAUAAAGCCAAAGAUCCUCCUAGCUGUAGCACGCUCUCCGAGGACACGAAGCCCUACCACGAAGGUAGCUUUACUAAUAUUCUCCUGACCCCACGAAAGCUAAGAAACAAACUGGGAUUAGAUACCCCACUAUG
RNAcentral lists this ribosomal RNA (446 nucleotides) under Astyanax bimaculatus (twospot astyanax). RNAcentral's name for it is "partial small subunit ribosomal RNA". It matches the Rfam family "Bacterial small subunit ribosomal RNA", at positions 7 to 794 of the family's 1533-position model. Lineage: Eukaryota; Metazoa; Chordata; Actinopteri; Characiformes; Acestrorhamphidae. The record is from RNAcentral.